This 133-nucleotide ribosomal RNA is filed under the name uncultured zygomycete. RNAcentral's name for it is "partial small subunit ribosomal RNA". It matches the Rfam family "Eukaryotic small subunit ribosomal RNA", at positions 1675 to 1804 of the family's 1831-position model. Lineage: Eukaryota; Fungi. The record is from RNAcentral.
GUCGCUACUACCGAUUGAAUGGUUAUAGUGAGCAUAUGGGAUCAGUAGAAUUAGGUUGGCAACAACCUUUCUCUGCAGAGAACUAUGGCAAACUAGGCUAUUUAGAGGAAGUAAAAGUCGUAACAAGAUUUCC